This 1624-nucleotide long non-coding RNA is filed under the name Fukomys damarensis (Damara mole-rat). RNAcentral's name for it is "lncRNA (ENSFDAG00000022967.1)". Lineage: Eukaryota; Metazoa; Chordata; Mammalia; Rodentia; Bathyergidae. The record is from RNAcentral.
AGUCCAGAGCAGGGAGACGGGCCUGAGCCUCCAUGACCCUCACUUUCAGCAGUUCCCUUCCUCCCCGUGUAGUAACCGUAUCACGCAGCCCCCGAACAAAAGCUUCGUCUACAGGGUCAUGGUUACAGACAGCUGUAACCAUUUUAAGCUGCAAACCAGCUGAAUGGCAGAUUCCGCUGAAGGGAAGGUGGGGGACACUGGCAGAGAGAACUUCACGAUUGCACUGUUGGUGUCUUCCGUGUGCCCCCUCCCCUUGCCGCCGUGUCCCACGGAUCUUCUCCCGCGGCAGCAAGCCCUCUCUGCACUGCUUGGCAGUGUCUGCUUUAAGAGAGGAGCGGCCCUGCAGGGAGAGGGAGGGGACAGUCCGUCCACUGCUGCCUGGGAGCUUGAAUGGUAACAGCACCACUCCUCACUCUAGGAGAGUCAGGGAGGGAGCAGAUCCGAUGUCCUUUUUGUCCCCAGAGGCUUCUCCCAGAAGCAGCCUGUGAUCUAGUCAUUGUUGGAGACAGUGAGUAUACUUCUCUGCUACCCCCUCAUUAACGGUGCCAGAAAGUGAAGACGUGAGCUGAGCAGCCGCGGUGAACACCACGCAUUAGUCACGUAGGACACAGUAGGCUUUGGAUGGUUACAUUAGAGAUCUGGACUCAUUCUGAAAAAUGUUCCUGAGCAAUUUUGUUUUUAAAAGCAGACCAAUGGACUGAUCCAAUGGAUGGGUUAAAGUGUGUUGGUCUGGGAGAUAGGUGAAGCCUAAGUUUGGAUCCUGUUAAAACCAGCCGGGUGGGCUUAGAGACGUGGCCAAAUCACCUCGAGGCACAGUGGCCUCAUCUGUUGUUCUGGCCAGUACUGACACGAACUGUCACUUUUUGCUUCAUGGGUCAGCUGUACUAUUGCUGGCAAAGUGUUGGACUCACACCAAGUGCUUGACAGAGUUGCUCUGUGCCUGAAUGAUAGGUUUUGUCCCCACAAGGCCGUCCUAAGUUGAACAUAUCCUAAGUUAAAAGUGUACCGAACACUCCGAACUCCCUGAAGGUCAUCUGUGCCACACAGUGCCCUGUAGAAUGGCGAUUGCUUCCCCACUUGUUGUGUGGCCAGUGGGAGCUGUGGUUGCUGCUACUGCCUGGCACCUCUAGAAAGGGCCGGACUGCACAUCACCACCCAGGAAAGGAUGAAGAUUCCAAAUCUGAAGUCUGAUUUCUACUAAAGGCACAUUGUUUCGUGGCUAUGGUAAAGCUGAACCAUCAAAAGUCAGGGUGGCCAGCGGUUGCUAUUAUUAUUCCUAGGAAAUCCAUAUAAUACAACAUCCAAAUCAAGAUACUUUGACAGUGAAGGUGGACAUAAAAAUGAUUAAAAUGAUAAAUUUUCUGAAGGACUUACUUAUUGACCAGGAAAUCGAUUUUCUGAAAUACUGGUAGACCUAUAAAAUCUUUCUAUUCAGAAUACUAUUUUCAGGGCUGGGGAUUUAGCUCAGUGGUGCUGGCGCCUGCCUCGCAAGCACAAGGACCUGAGUUCGAUCCCCGGUACCAAAAAAAAACCCCCAAAAAACAAAAAACAAAACAAAAAAACAAACAGAAUACUAUUUUCAAAUAUCUAGCACUUCUGAAGAAAUAAAAUAGCAUAUGUCUGU